RNAcentral lists this ribosomal RNA (801 nucleotides) under Oryza sativa Indica Group (long-grained rice). RNAcentral's name for it is "eukaryotic LSU rRNA". The stretch from base 285 to 439 matches the Rfam family "5.8S ribosomal RNA". Lineage: Eukaryota; Viridiplantae; Streptophyta; Magnoliopsida; Poales; Poaceae. The record is from RNAcentral.
GGAAGUAAAAGUCGUAACAAGGUAUCUGUAGGUGAACCUGCAGAUGGAUCAUUUCGAUGAAAACCUUUUUUCUUGAGGUGUGGCUCGCACCUGUCUAACUAAAUCGAGCUACCACAUUUUAACACGGUUGCAUCGGUUGGCUGUCAAACAGUGCGCGCGGCGAAUUCAUUUUCGCCCGCGCUCUGCGAGACGGUCGACACUUUACCAAAAACACUGUUGAUACCAUAGGAUUUGAACGUAGAUGAAACUCGACUGGUAAUGCGGGCCGUCUAAAAUCUAAAAACAACUUUUGGCAACGGAUCUCUUGGUUCUCCCAUCGAUGAAGAACGCAGCGAAUUGCGAUAAGUAAUGUGAAUUGCAGAAGUGAAUCAUCGAAUCUUUGAACGCACCUUGCGCUCCCGGCAGAUCUAAUCUGGGGAGCAUGCCUGUUUGAGGGCCGCGAAUUGUUUCGAACGACUAGCUUUCUUAUUUAGUUGAGCGAGCUGGCGGAUCGGUAUUGAGGGUCUUGCCAUUUUCCACGGUGGCUCCCUCGAAAUGCAUUAGCGCAUCCAUUCGAUAGGCAAGACGGACGAAAGCUCGUUAUUUCGCCCACGUCUUUCCCUGCCGGGUUUUGAUAAUAUCAGGACUUCGGAGAGGAAAGGCGCUGGGUCGAGGAGCUGGACGCGACGUUUUGCUGGUUGGAGUGCUUCUGAACCCCGCCCAUGCCUCCUUCUCCGGAAGAGGAAGGGAUUUAAUUUCAAUUCAUCGGCCUCAGAUUGGUAGGACUACCCGCUGAACUUAAGCAUAUCAAUAAGCGGAGGA